CCAGUUGCUGCCGCUGCAGCGCCACUGCGAGGCGCGCGCCGCCGCCGCCCUUGAUCUGCACAACCUCGUUUCCGUCUAUAUACAUGCUAAGGUAUAUGGGGCUACGCAGCUGCUGGAGUACUGCCAAGGCUUCUUGCUGCAGAACAUGGUAGCCCUGCUGACGUACGACGACUCGGUGAAGCGACUUCUGUUCGGCAAGCGGCUGCCAGGACACAACGUGCUGGGCGCUCUGCUCACUACGCUACAGAAGCGAAUAGAGUCCAGAAAGGGACAGUCAAAGAGUAGGUAGCAAAAGUAGGACUAUCAAAUAUUAGGCAACAAACAGCAGUCAAAGAUUAGGUAAAGAAAGUGAAGUCAAACAAUUAGAAGUCAAAAAAGCUGGACAGAAUAUUUUUAUUUGAUAGAAAAGAGAGAAAUAUUUAAUUGUUAUUUAAAGUCAAACUCCAAAGUUAAUAUCUUUUCCAUUUCUAAGUUGUUCUUGUAGACUUCAAUUACUUUUAUCAUUAGGUAACAUGUAUGUACGUUUGUGUAUUGUAUGUAAAGGAAUUGAAAAGUACUUAUGUAUUAUAUUAUGUAUCAUCGAUAUAUAUAAUGUGUUUAUAUAUUUUUUCUUUUCUGUAACUAAAGACGAUAAACUGAUAGACCUAUGAAUACAGAACUUGAUAUUGUUCAAUUUAUAAUAAUUACAAUGAAUAUUGUUAAAAGUGAUAUCGAAACCUUUACGUAUAUUAAACAAAUUGAUGAUACGCACAAUUGAAAUAAAUUAUUACUCUCUUUGUUGUAGGAUUUAUUCAUUUAGAUGUUCAUAUAUCGGUACUUAUUGUAUGUAAAAAUACUCAGUAAUUGGACUAUGUACAAACCUAACAUCUUUAAAAAAUAAGGCUAAUAUUAUUAUGUUGUAUCGUGUAAAUCAUUUUAUGUUAAGAAACUACAAUAUCAAGACUUAAAAGUUUGUACGAAUAUUUUGUUAUUUUUAAUUAUCUGUCUAUCGUAAAGACUAUUAACUAUGUAAUUAAAAUAUAAUUAUUGUUGAAACAAAA
Long non-coding RNA from Papilio polytes (common Mormon), 1040 nucleotides. RefSeq lists it as uncharacterized. The transcript is spliced from 2 exons. Lineage: Eukaryota; Metazoa; Arthropoda; Insecta; Lepidoptera; Papilionidae. The record is from RefSeq and is a predicted model, not a curated record.